GACAGAGGGAGCAAGCGUUGCUCGGAAUCACUAGGCGUAAAGGGCGCGUAAGCGGGAUGGCAAGUCAGUCGUGAAAUCUCUCGGCUCAACCGAGAAACGUCGGCUGAUACUGCCGUUCUUGAGGGAUGCAGAGGAGACUGGAAUUCCCGGUGUAGCGGUGAAAUGUGUAGAGAUCGGGAGGAACACCGGUGGCGAAGGCGGGUCUCUGAGCAUCUCCUGACGCUGAGGCGCGAAAGCGUGGGGAGCAAAC
RNAcentral lists this ribosomal RNA (250 nucleotides) under uncultured bacterium. RNAcentral describes it as "partial 16S ribosomal RNA". It matches the Rfam family "Bacterial small subunit ribosomal RNA", at positions 524 to 773 of the family's 1533-position model. The record is from RNAcentral.